AUACGGAGGGUGCAAGCGUUAUCCGGAUUCAUUGGGUUUAAAGGGUGCGCAGGCGGACUUGUAAGUCAGUGGUGAAAUCCCGGGGCUCAACCUCGGAACUGCCAUUGAUACUGCAAGUCUUGAGUUUGGUUGAAGUGGGCGGAAUGUAGCAUGUAGCGGUGAAAUGCAUAGAUAUGCUACAGAACACCGAUCGCGAAGGCAGCUCACUAAACCAACACUGACGCUCAGGCACGAAAGCGUGGGGAGCUAACAGGAUUAGAAACCCCGGUAGUCC
RNAcentral lists this ribosomal RNA (274 nucleotides) under uncultured bacterium. RNAcentral describes it as "partial 16S ribosomal RNA". It matches the Rfam family "Bacterial small subunit ribosomal RNA", at positions 523 to 796 of the family's 1533-position model. The record is from RNAcentral.